Molecule: ribosomal RNA, 463 nt
Filed under: uncultured bacterium
Lineage: Bacteria
Description: bacterial SSU rRNA
Rfam family: Bacterial small subunit ribosomal RNA
Source: RNAcentral
UUACGGGAGGCAGCAGUGGGGAAUAUUGGACAAUGGGCGCAAGCCUGAUCCAGCCAUGCCGCGUGUGUGAAGAAGGCCUUCGGGUUGUAAAGCACUUUUGUUCGGGAAGAAAAGCACUGGGUUAAUACCCUGGUGUUCUGACGGUACCGAAAGAAUAAGCACCGGCUAACUUCGUGCCAGCAGCCGCGGUAAUACGAAGGGUGCAAGCGUUACUCGGAAUUACUGGGCGUAAAGCGUGCGUAGGUGGUGAGUUAAGUCUGUCGUGAAAGCCCCGGGCUCAACCUGGGAAUGGCGAUGGAUACUGGCUCGCUAGAGUGCGGUAGAGGAGAGUGGAAUUCCCGGUGUAGCAGUGAAAUGCGUAGAGAUCGGGAGGAACAUCAGUUGCGAAGGCGGCUCUCUGGACCAGCACUGACACUGAGGCACGAAAGCGUGGGGAGCAAACAGGAUUAGAUACCCCGGUAGU